Raphanus sativus (radish) is the source of this 908-nucleotide long non-coding RNA. RefSeq lists it as uncharacterized. NCBI's taxonomy places the organism in Eukaryota, Viridiplantae, Streptophyta, Magnoliopsida, Brassicales, Brassicaceae. The transcript has 2 exons. The record is from RefSeq and is a predicted model, not a curated record.
UACCCUUGUUCACUUAUCGGUAAUCCCAAGAGUGAUCCUAUUGGGUCUUGCAGACAUAACCGUAGGAAACCUCCUACCUCUUUAGCCUUCUCCUUUUUCAUUUUUCUUUCUUGUUCUCUUUCUACUUUUUAUUUCUUUUUUUACUAGUUGUUCUGUUUCUCUUUCUCCAUUCUUUCUGAUAAAUUCUAAUUUUCUCAAACAAAUCUUCUACAGAACUGGAUCUCCUCUCAUCUUCCUCUUCUAUAUGUACAUCCCAAAAUCUAUGUAAAUUUCUUAGUCUCCUGUCCCCACUGUGUAACCAAGCUUCCCAUCGUGAAAAGACCAAUCCGAGAGCGCGCCACCGUAUUCUCCAAGUCACGACAACCAAACUCCGCCGCCGAGCUCUUCCGUCGUGCUUUGUAACUCAGGCAGCAUCCAGCUCUGAAUUAUCCACGACCUCCACUGGACUUUGAUUCAACACUCACCGUGUGGUCUCUCGUCCAAGUCACCUCCUCUCCAUGAUCAGCUCACCGUAGUGACCUUGCUCAACGUCGGAAUCAAGCUCGCCGUCAGAUGCUGCAAAGAGAAAGCGUUGUUCUCUCCAAUGGAACGUUCUCUCGAAUUAACUCCUGAAACUUCGCUUUUAGAGAUCAAAGUUUGGUUCACCUGUAACAUAUUCUAGCUUUAAGGUGGAGGGAGCAUUAUAGAAAGAAAGAAACAUCACAUGGAUAAGGAGAUUGAAAGAAGCUCUAGGAAUAUUACGGUGCGGCGGGAUUACAAGCACUAUAUCCGGAUACAUAAGUUUUAUGUCCGGAUUUCACAUAAUUAGACUUGGAAUAAAUCUGGUUAGUAUAUUAUACAUCCGGUUACGCGACCAGAAUUUUCAUAAUUUAUUACUAUUAUAUAUAGUGAACACAACAUAUCACUCA